CUGCAGCUGCCCGCGGGGAAGGCGGCCUCACGGGCCAGCCGGAGAGCGGCCGCCUGAUGCUCCGGGAGCCAGGCCCCCCCCCCCUCCAAUAAAGCCAAUAAUUUCCUUCGCUCUCGCCCCGCAAGCCCAUGGCUGCUGUCAAACGCCCCCCUGCCAGAGUAAGCACAAUUAGUACAUAGACCUUUCUAUGGAUCUUCCCGAUCUAUGAAGGAAUAGGGAUAGAAAGAAGAAAAAUCUCUUAUGCACUGUCUGAAUCUAUGUGUCUCUCUUCUUGAUGCCACAAUAACAGGCCAGUUAUAUGAAUCUAGGAAAGAAUAUUUUUCCGCGGCUGCUAAGGCGCGCGCUGUCUCUUCUGUCCUCCUCGAGCCGCCGAGGCCGACUGCAUGAGGAAAGCACCAUCGACAUACGAGAGCAAGUUACAGAACAAGGAUCCAUCUCCUUGACGAGGGAGCUUCGAAUUGACCCUAACCACGAAAACAAUAUCUUGUUUCCUAGAAAGAUUAAUUAGGACGCGCUCGUUCUACGAAAGGAGCCAUGAGGAUGGCGUUCAGACUAACUGCAGACUAAUCCCCGCAAUGGAUCUAAAAGAACAGGGAGAGGCAUGACGAGAAAUCGAACAAGAGACCACUGCCACGAAGCGAGGGGAGACGCUGAACAAAGGAAGAGCGAGCAGCAUGCUGAGAAAAAGAGGCAUACAGCAAGACGCCAGCCAGAGUCUCAUAGAAAACAAUAAAGAAAGGGUACUAGACCUAAACUGGCGAGUACAAAUCAAGAACGACGAAAAAAAAUCCGUCAUUUUUUAGUUUUUUUCCUAAAAUACAAAUAAACCAUCCAGAUUUUGCCCAACUGAUCACGAGCGUCCUGUGGGGCCAAACUUCAUGCAUUAAUUAGUAAGCUAUGGCAAAUUCAAUUAGAGUUAUUACUUUUCUCGCUAACAAAGUUGCACUUCAUCUUAACUUUACUGCAGUUUAUCACAGAAGCACCCUUGGGUUCAUGAAUCCAUUACCGAGUUUGCUUGGAACAGACUCAGGUGGUGAAGUCAAAUUCCAAAACUGAGCAAGAUGCACACCAGUAAAGAGUAUUUAAACAGGGACGAUAAGAUGAAGAUAUUCUAAGAAGCAUUUGAAGCAAUUUUAAAGAAAGAAAAGUCAAACCUCUGUAUCCACUAAUCCCUUUCCUAUUUGUCCACUGGAACCGGUGGUCGGGGGAGGAAGGACGAAAGUGAGCAUCAAUGAUUACAGUAACAGUCUUAACUCAGUGUAAUUUGGCAGACAAUUUUCGACAAUCUCACACAAGUUGUUAAUUGGGUGAAUCUCCAAAAUGAUAUCGCCACUGCAACAAAAAGAAUUAUGUUGGGUCACACAAAGCAGCCUCGGUUAGACCCAGUUGUAUACGAAAUGGCUACUACCCAGUGUUUCACGUGAUUAUACUUCUAAAAACGAGAAAAGGGCCAAAAUCACGAUUUCUUCGUCUUAUAGAGAGGAAACUAAGAUCAAGUUUGCCCAAAUUCCAUAUUGGAAAAUUCAUCAUGUGAUGUGAUACGAUUAGGAUGGCAAAAUAUUAGUUAGACUGGGCAGCAAUAUUACCAAUUGGACUAAAAGAAAUGCAGCAGAUUUCCUGGUGACUUUUACAAUUUAAAAUCAAUUUUUUUUUAAAAUAUUAACAUAAACUAUCAAUAACUGCAGAUUAAUUUAAGAGGUUGAGAUGAAGCGGGAGAGAAAUACUCAUUUGAAGCUGUAGGAACCACAUCUUCAAACAAAUUAAAUUGCAGACUUGAAGUGGACGAAUCCAUCUCAUUGAAGAAAGAAAAAUCCACACAAACAGAAACCACGGAGAUCUAAUGGUUCCAUAAAUCGAAGUGGAUUCCAAGCGGCAACCAUAGGUUUCAGUAAAAAAAUUUCAGCUCUAUGAGAUACUUCCAGGUAAGGAGACCUAAAGCAAACUUCAAAAAACAUGACAAUAUUUGAGAAAAAAUCCACAGAAGUAAAUACAAGGAAAUAGAAUAAGAAGAACAGAGCCAAAGCUGAUUUUUGCUUACAAUGAUGUAAGAGAGAAAAAUUAUAAAUUAAAAAUUGAGUAAAAUUUUAAAACACACACAGAAGAGAACUGUACUAAGUGGAAAAAGGUAGGUGGUAUUAGAAAAAAUUACGAAACUGGUGAAAAAGAAGGUGCCAAAAGAUGCCGUUGUGAUGACAUAACAAAAAAGUGCAAAAAAUAAGGGUUGAGGGGAAGAAAGAGUGAAAUAAUGAAAGCCUGAUUAGUAAGAAGCUGAAACAAUUAAUACAGAAUACAGACAGAAUAAAAGGAAAGAAGAAAAACACAAAACAACGAGUCUCAAUGAACAAAUUAGGAACAUCAACAAACUUAUUGAAUGACCAAAGAACAAUGAAGAAAAAAAUAAGAUAAAAAAAAUGAAUGAAAAAAUAAAAUACAAAUAAUGAAUAACGGAAAGUAAUUUUCAGUUAAGUUAAAGUCAGAGAAUCAAACGGACAGUAAAAACAGAUAAUCACCAAAGGCCCAAAAAAAGAACGAAAUACGUGAGAAAAAUACGAAAAAAAGCCGCAUUAGAGCAGAAAAAUCACAAGGGAAAGAAUACAGAAAAAAAUGAAGAAAACAGCAUCCCAUAAAUUAGGAAUUAAAAUUUUUUUGUGAGUAUUUCCUAUGCCUUUUCUCUGUCCUUCAGGCGUUUUUCUUCUUUGUAUUACUUCCUCUUUUCUGUCUUUUGUUCGUCUGUUCUUCCUUUUUUUUUUUAGUUAUUUUUAUGAUUCUAUCCUUUAUUAUAUUCGUCCCUUUUCUUCCUUUUGUUCUUUUGGGACUUUCUGUUUUCGACCUCUUUGCUCAUGGGUAAGAUUUGUAUUUUGAUUGGUAAUAUGUAGUUGUUCGGAACAUGUAGGAUUCGGACCAAUACCUUAAAAAUUUAAAGGAUGCGAGAGAAUCUUAAGAAAUGCAGAAUGCUCUAUCACACAAAGAAAGAAACAAAAAAGAAAUGCGAGCACAAUUAAGAACUGAAACAGCCAUCAAAACCGUCAAAAGAAAACUGCAUGUUCGUCGAAGAAAGCCACUGGAAAAAUACAAUGUCAAGAUAUGACAUCAAAAUCGAAAUACUGUACCUACGAGUAUACAUCAGAAACCUCUAUACAAUCAACCAAUAAUGAUAUAGAUACGUGGAAAACAUAACGCCGUGAAAAGAAUGGAUCACAGAUGAGAAAAAAUAAACAAAAAAAAAAUGUAAGAUAAUUGCUGAUACUUGCUGACCUACAGGGACUUUGUAGAUUUCCGGAAUUUGAAGAAAAGUGCAUGAAGGCUGAAACAUAACAGGUGGCUACCGGAUAUCUGGAGAGAUCCAUUGCGCCACAAAGGAGCAAAGCCGCGUCAUUGCCCGAUACGACACAAACAAAUUAAAAAAACGAGAGGCAGAAAAACCCAUUCUCCUACCCCUUCCGCGGGGAGCCCUUCCACGCCUAGCAUCCAUUACCUCUCGCCGUGGGCAGUCUCCCCCGGCAGACACAACGCCGUCUCCUUCCCUCUAUUCCAGCCACGUACUAACCUCCACGAGCAUCCUCCUCAACUUCCGGCGCCUCCAGCGGCCUGCCCACAACACGGCACUCUUGUUGAUCGGUUCAGGGAGACGGGCCGGUUUCAAGGAGGAUGCAAGGAUUGCGGCAAUCGAGGAAGAAGCUACCCACAUCGACGCAUGCUUAACGCUGGAGACACCGUUGCCUCCUUCGGCGGGGGAUUCCUAUCACCCCAUGAAGACGGCGGACAACCAUAUCGCACCCUCGAUGAUCCCAAUGUCACAGAUCGAAGCUAUCACCACCACCGGUGUGGAAGGAGGACUAGACGACUCUGAACAAAGAGAGGGAUCCCACCUGAUACAUAUUUUCCCGCCCAUUCUCGUGUCACGCUCAAGAUGGUCGUGGCAG
RNAcentral lists this long non-coding RNA (3923 nucleotides) under Spirodela polyrhiza (greater duckweed). RNAcentral's name for it is "long non-coding RNA (SPOL_LNC001815)". The record is from RNAcentral. Lineage: Eukaryota; Viridiplantae; Streptophyta; Magnoliopsida; Alismatales; Araceae.